ACUUAGUGGCGGACGGGUGAGUAACGCGUGGGUAACCUGCCUCACACAGGGGGAUAACAGUUGGAAACGACCGCUAAUACCGCAUAACCCGCUAGGGCCGCAUGGCCCGGACGGAAAAGAUUUAUCGGUGUGAGAUGGACCCGCGUUGGAUUAGCUAGUUGGCAGGGUAACGGCCUACCAAGGCGACGAUCCAUAGCCGGCCUGAGAGGGUGAACGGCCACAUUGGGACUGAGACAUGGCCCAA
This 244-nucleotide ribosomal RNA is filed under the name uncultured bacterium. RNAcentral describes it as "partial 16S ribosomal RNA". It matches the Rfam family "Bacterial small subunit ribosomal RNA", at positions 90 to 334 of the family's 1533-position model. The record is from RNAcentral.